GGGUAUAUAGCUCAGUGGUAGACCAUGUGCUUAGCAUGCACAAAGUCCUGGGUUCAAUCCCUAGUACCUUCA
Molecule: transfer RNA, 72 nt
Filed under: Camelus bactrianus (Bactrian camel)
Lineage: Eukaryota; Metazoa; Chordata; Mammalia; Artiodactyla; Camelidae
Also listed under: 2 other names
Rfam family: tRNA
About the family: Transfer RNA (tRNA) molecules are approximately 80 nucleotides in length. Their secondary structure includes four short double-helical elements and three loops (D, anti-codon, and T loops).
Source: Rfam by way of RNAcentral